AACGAACGCUGGCGGCAUGCCUAACACAUGCAAGUCGAACGAACCCUUCGGGGUUAGUGGCGCACGGGUGCGUAACGCGUGGGGAUCUGCCCAAAGGUUCGGAAUAACUCAGAGAAAUUUGAGCUAAUACCGGAUAAUGUCUUCGGACCAAAGAUUUAUUGCCUUUGGAUGAACCCGCGUAGGAUUAGCUUGUUGGUGGGGUAAAGGCCUACCAAGGCGACGAUCCUUAGCUGGUCUGAGAGGAUGAUCAGCCACACUGGGACUGAGACACGGCCCAGACUCCUACGGGAGGCAGCAGUGGGGAAUAUUGGACAAUGGGCGAAAGCCUGAUCCAGCAAUGCCGCGUGAGUGAAGAAGGCCUCGGUU
This 366-nucleotide ribosomal RNA is filed under the name uncultured bacterium. RNAcentral's name for it is "bacterial SSU rRNA". It matches the Rfam family "Bacterial small subunit ribosomal RNA", at positions 29 to 424 of the family's 1533-position model. The record is from RNAcentral.